GGUCGAUUAGCUUAGUCGGUAGAGCGUGGUACUAAUAAUGCCAAGGUCAUGAGUUCAAGCCUCAUAUUGACCA
This 73-nucleotide transfer RNA is filed under the name Melampsora larici-populina 98AG31. RNAcentral's name for it is "tRNA-Ile (AAT) (tRNA-Ile-AAT-4-1)". It matches the Rfam family "tRNA". Rfam says of the family: Transfer RNA (tRNA) molecules are approximately 80 nucleotides in length. The record is from RNAcentral. Lineage: Eukaryota; Fungi; Basidiomycota; Pucciniomycetes; Pucciniales; Melampsoraceae.